AAUGAUCAAGCUUAAUUUGAGGAUCAAAGCAUCAUUAUGAGAAACUCCAUGACAUCAUUCAUGAUAAAAAAGGGUGAAAGCUCAUCAAAUUAAUUUCUUUAAAAAGUGUUAUUGGCACACAAGGGAAAAAUGAAUGAGAAAUAUAGGACAUGUAGUCAAACUGAAUCAGGACUACAGGGAAUGAGAAUAAACUCUUCAACUGAUAAUGAAAAGAAAGACAUUGUGAGCAGCUGAGGUGUUUGUGCUCUCAGUGUGUUGAAGUGUUGUUUCUCUCUCUCUGCUGGAGUUUGUGUUCACUCGAGUGGAAUAGAGGUUUUUGUACGAGUGUUUCAUUAGAUUGUAUCACUGUGGUACACAUUCGGUGGAGGAACUAAACUUGUGCUCGCUGGUCCCACAGUGAAGCCCUCAGUGUCUCUGCUGCCGCCCUCUUCUCUGCAGAUCUCUGGAGACUCAGCCGCACUGCUCUGUCUGCUCAGCUCUUACUCUCCACAGGGGGCGCUGGUGAGCUGGACACUGGACGGCUCAGAGGUCACCGAGGGGGUUGUGACCAGUGCAGAGAGCGAGCAGGACGGCCGCUACAGCCGCAGUAGUGUCCUGACCCUCGGCAAAGCACGCUGGGAAGAGGGAGAGCUGUACGUCUGCAGAGUAACACAUGAUGGAGCUCCUCAUGAGGCCUCGUUCCACAAGAGUCGCUGUUAGUCGCUCGCAGUGCUGAUGUUUCUCCAGUGAGUGCUGCUCUCUCCUGAAGAUGAGUGUAUCUGAGUGUCCUGUGUCAGGCAGCUGUAGCUGUAGUCAUUUACAACUCAAUACUGAAAGAGAGCUCUAGUGUCAAAGCACUGGCUGAUCUUUCAAUCUGCUGUGUUUGCUGCAACAUUCAAUAAAGCUUCUCAACAAAC
Long non-coding RNA from Carassius gibelio (silver crucian carp), 896 nucleotides. RefSeq lists it as uncharacterized. Lineage: Eukaryota; Metazoa; Chordata; Actinopteri; Cypriniformes; Cyprinidae. The record is from RefSeq and is a predicted model, not a curated record. The transcript has 2 exons.